This 424-nucleotide long non-coding RNA is filed under the name Vitis vinifera (wine grape). Its description in RNAcentral is "long non-coding RNA (VVIN_LNC007485)". The record is from RNAcentral. Lineage: Eukaryota; Viridiplantae; Streptophyta; Magnoliopsida; Vitales; Vitaceae.
CCACCAAAACAAAGAAGGUGUUAUUUUUAUUAGCAGAUAACAUAGAUUUACCUCGUCAUGUAUUUUUGUAAUCUCUCCUGCCAUGACAUAUCGGCCGCAAUGCAUUAAAUGACAGUCAUAAUCCAUUGGUGGAAUUGUAUCUUCCACGACAUACAAAACCAAAAAGCCUCAAACAUGCGUAUCCAUAAUUUCCAAAACCAUGCAGACAACCACAAGCCAAAUGUAGUAUCAUCUCCAUGCCUAUAAAAUGUGAAGACCAAGAAUAGGCACCAUGCAUGCACUAACGAAUGGAUGGUUAGAGCAUAUGGCAACUAAUUAUAAGUGACAUGUAUAUAAACUUUCAUAUUGAUUCUAUGUUUACAGUAGCUAUCUUUCAAAAACAAUUAUUGCAUGUCACUGAAGAAUGAAGUUUCCUCAAGAAACU